UUAGGGUGUUCAAAUUAACGAUCCACAACGUUAAAUAUGAUUUAGGGUAUACGCAUAUAAGAAUUCUGACAAUGACAGACGGAAUCCAAAAAUCUAUACUAUAUAUAAAAAUGUAUAAGAAUUCCGAUAAUGACAGACGGAAUCCAAAAAAGAAUAAAAUAAUAUUCUCUACGAAUUGUUAUGAUUAAUUUGUUAAAAAUAUCUCAAAUAAAAACGAAUGAUUAUGAUCAACAAAUAGUUAUGAUCAAUUUGUUUAAAAACUAUCUCAAAAUAAGAACAGUGAUGAUUAAUCCAUUAAAAAAUAGCAUUUCUAUUUAUCUAUAAAUUCAUUCCUACAAAUCAUUAUAAUUAAUUUGUUAAAAAAUACCUCAAAUAAAAACAAACGGUUAUGAUCAAUUUGUUAAAAAAUAGUAUUUUUUAUCCAUAUAUUUUACAUUAAAAUUAGAAUUUGAGUUUAAAUUAUGAAUUAAAUUUAAUUUUUGAUAUCAAGUUUGAAUUAACAAUUAUUUUUUUUAUUAUAGUGGAUUAAAAUUAAAUUUUAAAGUAAACGUGAAUUAAAUUUUGAUGUUUUUAAUUUCAAACACAUAUUUAAAUUUGAUUCAUCAAAAAUUAAGAAGUAUAUAAAAAUGUUCGAUGUAUGUAAAAAAAAGAACACUGUAGGAUAUUGUAAAUAUUUUCUAAUAAAAUAUAACAUAUUAAUUUAUAAAUAUAAUUUUUAUUGUAAAACUUUGAAUAUAUAUAAUGUACAAAUUUAUAUUGAUUUGAAAUAAAUUAUAAUAAUUAUUAGUACAAUCAACUAGCGUGUGUGUGUGUGUGUAUAUAUAUAUAUAUAUAGUUGAGCUAGAAUACUAUCGAUAGCAAACGGGCUCCGUUGCCAUCCAUUUAUUUUCGAUGAUAGAGCCUCCAAAUCGACGAUCGGCACUGUUGAAUAUGAUCUAUCCUAUUUGAAGUAUUUAGAAAUCAAAUUUCAAAUCUUUUCGCCAUCAUUUGCCUAAUGAUCAAAGGGUUUCAAAAUUUGUAAUUUUAAUGGUU
This 1032-nucleotide long non-coding RNA is filed under the name Ananas comosus (pineapple). RNAcentral's name for it is "long non-coding RNA (ACOM_LNC023538)". Lineage: Eukaryota; Viridiplantae; Streptophyta; Magnoliopsida; Poales; Bromeliaceae. The record is from RNAcentral.